UACGUAGGCCGCGAGCGUUGUUCGGAGUUACUGGGCGUAAAGCGUGCGUAGGCGGUGUCUUAAGUUUGUUGUGAAAUCUCACGGCUUAACCGGGAGGGUGCGGCGAAUACUGAGAUGCUGGAGUGCCGGAGAGGUAAGCGGAAUUCCUGGUGUAGCGGUGAAAUGCGUAGAUAUCAGGAGGAACACCAGCGGUGUAGACAGCUUACUGGACGGUAACUGACGCUGAGGCACGAAAGCGUGGGUAGCAAACGGG
RNAcentral lists this ribosomal RNA (253 nucleotides) under uncultured bacterium. RNAcentral's name for it is "partial 16S ribosomal RNA". It matches the Rfam family "Bacterial small subunit ribosomal RNA", at positions 524 to 776 of the family's 1533-position model. The record is from RNAcentral.